UACGUAGGUGGCAAGCGUUGUCCGGAAUUAUUGGGUUUAAAGGGUGCGUAGGCGGGUAAUUAAGUCGGUGGUGAAAGCAGACAGCUCAACUGUCGAACCGCCAUUGAUACUGGUUAUCUUGAGUAUAGUUGAGGCAGGCGGAAUUUACGAUGUAGCGGUGAAAUGCAUAGAUAUCGUAAAGAACACCGAUAGCGAGGGCAGCUUGCUAAACUAUAACUGACGCUGAGGCACGAAAGCAUGGGGAGCGAACAGG
Molecule: unclassified non-coding RNA, 253 nt
Filed under: uncultured Cyclobacteriaceae bacterium
Lineage: Bacteria; Pseudomonadati; Bacteroidota; Cytophagia; Cytophagales; Cyclobacteriaceae
Description: contains 16S-23S intergenic spacer region
Rfam family: Bacterial small subunit ribosomal RNA
Source: RNAcentral